RNAcentral lists this ribosomal RNA (292 nucleotides) under uncultured bacterium. Its description in RNAcentral is "partial 16S ribosomal RNA". It matches the Rfam family "Bacterial small subunit ribosomal RNA", at positions 505 to 796 of the family's 1533-position model. The record is from RNAcentral.
GUGCCAGCCGCCGCGGUAAGACGAACCGUGCAAACGUUGUUCGGAUUCACUGGGCUUAAAGGGCGCGUAGGCGGCUGGGUAAGUCUGUGGUGAAAUCUUUCGGCUCAACCGGAAGACUGCCGUGGAUACUGCCCAGCUCGAGGGAGGUAGGGGCAACCGGAACGGCCAGUGGAGCGGUGAAAUGCGUUGAUAUUGGCAGGAACGCCGGUGGCGAAAGCGGGUUGCUGGACCUCUUCUGACGCUGAGGCGCGAAAGCUAGGGAAGCAAACGGGAUUAGAAACCCGCGUAGUCC